CGCUUCCAUUGGAGGGCAAGUCUGGUGCCAGCAGCCGCGGUAAUUCCAGCUCCAAUAGCGUAUAUUAAAGUUGUUGCAGUUAAAAAGCUCGUAGUUGAACCUCGGGUUCAACUGGCUGGUCCGCCGAAAGGCGUGUACUGGUUCAGUUGGACCUUUCCUCCUGGCUAACCUUAAUGUCCUUCACCGGAUGUUUUGGCGAACCAGGACUUUUACUUUGAAAAAAUUAGAGUGUUCAAAGCAGGCCUUCGCUCGAAUAUAUUAGCAUGGAAUAAUAAAAUAGGACGUAUGGUUCUAUUUUGUUGGUUUCUAGGACCAUCGUAAUGAUUAAUAGGGACAGUCGGGGGCAUCAGUAUUCAGUUGUCAGAGGUGAAAUUCUUGGAUUUACUGAAGACUAACUACUGCGAAAGCAUUUGCCAAGGAUGUUUUCAUUAAUCAAGAACGAAAGUUAGGGGAUCGAAGACGAUCUAGAUAUCCGUUCCGCAAGGUAAGU
This 490-nucleotide ribosomal RNA is filed under the name Blastobotrys ciferrii. RNAcentral's name for it is "SSU rRNA". It matches the Rfam family "Eukaryotic small subunit ribosomal RNA", at positions 539 to 1018 of the family's 1831-position model. Lineage: Eukaryota; Fungi; Ascomycota; Dipodascomycetes; Dipodascales; Trichomonascaceae. The record is from RNAcentral.